Molecule: ribosomal RNA, 310 nt
Filed under: uncultured Clostridiaceae bacterium
Lineage: Bacteria; Bacillati; Bacillota; Clostridia; Eubacteriales; Clostridiaceae
Description: bacterial SSU rRNA
Rfam family: Bacterial small subunit ribosomal RNA
Source: RNAcentral
ACGCUGGCGGCGUGCCUAACACAUGCAAGUCGAACGGACUGAUUCCCUUCGGGGAUGAAAGUUAGUGGCGGACGGGUGAGUAACGCGUGAGUAACCUGCCUUUCAGAGGGGGAUAACGUUUGGAAACGAACGCUAAUACCGCAUAACAUAUCGGUACCGCAUGAUACUGAUAUCAAAGGAGCAAUCCGCUGAAAGAUGGACUCGCGUCUGAUUAGAUAGUUGGCGGGGUAACGGCCCACCAAGUCGACGAUCAGUAGCCGGACUGAGAGGUUGAACGGCCACAUUGGGACUGAGACACGGCCCAGACUCC